Molecule: ribosomal RNA, 886 nt
Filed under: Cystoderma clastotrichum
Lineage: Eukaryota; Fungi; Basidiomycota; Agaricomycetes; Agaricales; Squamanitaceae
Description: LSU rRNA
Rfam family: Eukaryotic large subunit ribosomal RNA
Source: RNAcentral
UUCCCCUAGUAACUGCGAGUGAAGCGGGAAAAGCUCAAAUUUAAAAUCUGGCGGUCUUAGACUGUCCGAGUUGUAAUCUAGAGAAGUGUUAUCCGCGUUGGACCGUGUACAAGUCUCCUGGAAUGGAGCGUCAUAGAGGGUGAGAAUCCCGUCUUUGACACGGACUACCAAGGCUUUGUGAUGCGCUCUCAAAGAGUCGAGUUGUUUGGGAAUGCAGCUCAAAAUGGGUGGUAAAUUCCAUCUAAAGCUAAAUAUUGGCGAGAGACCGAUAGCGAACAAGUACCGUGAGGGAAAGAUGAAAAGAACUUUGGAAAGAGAGUUAAACAGUACGUGAAAUUGCUGAAAGGGAAACGCUUGAAGUCAGUCGCGUUGGCCAGGGAUCAACCUUGCUCUUGCUGGGUGUACUUUCUGGUUAACGGGUCAACAUCAAUUUUGAUUGUUGGAAAAAGAUUAGGGGAAUGUGGCAUCUUCGGAUGUGUUAUAGCCCUUAGUUGUAUACAACAGUUGGGAUUGAGGAACUCAGCACGCCGAAAGGCCGGGUUUUAACCACGUUCGUGCUUAGGAUGUUGGCAUAAUGGCUUUAAUCGACCCGUCUUGAAACACGGACCAAGGAGUCUAACAUGCCUGCGAGUGUUUGGGUGGAAAACCCGAGCGCGUAAUGAAAGUGAAAGUUGAGAUCCCUGUCGCGGGGAGCAUCGACGCCCGGACCAGAAAUUUAUGGACGGUUCCGCGGUAGAGCAUGUAUGUUGGGACCCGAAAGAUGGUGAACUAUGCCUGAAUAGGGUGAAGCCAGAGGAAACUCUGGUGGAGGCUCGUAGCGAUUCUGACGUGCAAAUCGAUCGUCAAAUUUGGGUAUAGGGGCGAAAGACUAAUCGAACCAUCUAGU